RNAcentral lists this ribosomal RNA (509 nucleotides) under Pseudomonas plecoglossicida. Its description in RNAcentral is "bacterial SSU rRNA". It matches the Rfam family "Bacterial small subunit ribosomal RNA", at positions 33 to 523 of the family's 1533-position model. Lineage: Bacteria; Pseudomonadati; Pseudomonadota; Gammaproteobacteria; Pseudomonadales; Pseudomonadaceae. The record is from RNAcentral.
CGGUAGAAAGGGCUUGAGACGCUGGCGGCAGGCCUACACAUGCAGUCGAGCGGAUGAAGGGAGCUUGCUCCUUGUUUCAGCGGCGGACGGGUGAGUAAUGCCUAGGAAUCUGCCUGGUAGUGGGGGACAACGUUCCGAAAGGGGCGCUAAUACCGCAUACGUCCUACGGGAGAAAGUGGGGGAUCUUCGGACCUCACGCUAUCAGAUGAGCCUAGGUCGGAUUAGCUAGUUGGUGAGGUAAUGGCUCACCAAGGCGACGAUCCGUAACUGGUCUGAGAGGAUGAUCAGUCACACUGGAACUGAGACACGGUCCAGACUCCUACGGGAGGCAGCAGUGGGGAAUAUUGGACAAUGGGCGAAAGCCUGAUCCAGCCAUGCCGCGUGGGGGAAGAAGGUCUUCGGAUUGUAAAGCACUUUAAGUUGGGAGGAAGGGCAGUAAGUUAAUACCUUGCUGUUUUGACGUUACCGACAAAUAAGCACCGGCUAACUCUGUGCCACAGCCGCGGUAA